This 489-nucleotide ribosomal RNA is filed under the name Veillonella parvula. RNAcentral describes it as "bacterial SSU rRNA". It matches the Rfam family "Bacterial small subunit ribosomal RNA", at positions 28 to 485 of the family's 1533-position model. Lineage: Bacteria; Bacillati; Bacillota; Negativicutes; Veillonellales; Veillonellaceae. The record is from RNAcentral.
GACGAACGCUGGCGGCGUGCUUAACACAUGCAAGUCGAACGAAGAGCGAUGGAAGCUUGCUUCUAUCAAUCUUAGUGGCGAACGGGUGAGUAACGCGUAAUCAACCUGCCCUUCAGAGGGGGACAACAGUUGGAAACGACUGCUAAUACCGCAUACGAUCUAACCUCGGCAUCGAGGAUAGAUGAAAAGUGGCCUCUACAUGUAAGCUAUCACUGAAGGAGGGGAUUGCGUCUGAUUAGCUAGUUGGAGGGGUAACGGCCCACCAAGGCGAUGAUCAGUAGCCGGUCUGAGAGGAUGAACGGCCACAUUGGGACUGAGACACGGCCCAGACUCCUACGGGAGGCAGCAGUGGGGAAUCUUCCGCAAUGGACGAAAGUCUGACGGAGCAACGCCGCGUGAGUGAUGACGGCCUUCGGGUUGUAAAGCUCUGUUAAUCGGGACGAAAGGCCUUCUUGCGAAUAGUGAGAAGGAUUGACGGUACCCGAAAUA